Molecule: ribosomal RNA, 1534 nt
Filed under: Klebsiella pneumoniae
Lineage: Bacteria; Pseudomonadati; Pseudomonadota; Gammaproteobacteria; Enterobacterales; Enterobacteriaceae
Description: bacterial SSU rRNA
Rfam family: Bacterial small subunit ribosomal RNA
Source: RNAcentral
AGAGUUUGAUCAUGGCUCAGAUUGAACGCUGGCGGCAGGCCUAACACAUGCAAGUCGAGCGGUAGCACAGAGAGCUUGCUCUCGGGUGACGAGCGGCGGACGGGUGAGUAAUGUCUGGGAAACUGCCUGAUGGAGGGGGAUAACUACUGGAAACGGUAGCUAAUACCGCAUAAUGUCGCAAGACCAAAGUGGGGGACCUUCGGGCCUCAUGCCAUCAGAUGUGCCCAGAUGGGAUUAGCUAGUAGGUGGGGUAACGGCUCACCUAGGCGACGAUCCCUAGCUGGUCUGAGAGGAUGACCAGCCACACUGGAACUGAGACACGGUCCAGACUCCUACGGGAGGCAGCAGUGGGGAAUAUUGCACAAUGGGCGCAAGCCUGAUGCAGCCAUGCCGCGUGUGUGAAGAAGGCCUUCGGGUUGUAAAGCACUUUCAGCGGGGAGGAAGGCGNNNNNNNNNNNNNNNNNNNNNNNNNCGAUUGACGUUACCCGCAGAAGAAGCACCGGCUAACUCCGUGCCAGCAGCCGCGGUAAUACGGAGGGUGCAAGCGUUAAUCGGAAUUACUGGGCGUAAAGCGCACGCAGGCGGUCUGUCAAGUCGGAUGUGAAAUCCCCGGGCUCAACCUGGGAACUGCAUUCGAAACUGGCAGGCUAGAGUCUUGUAGAGGGGGGUAGAAUUCCAGGUGUAGCGGUGAAAUGCGUAGAGAUCUGGAGGAAUACCGGUGGCGAAGGCGGCCCCCUGGACAAAGACUGACGCUCAGGUGCGAAAGCGUGGGGAGCAAACAGGAUUAGAUACCCUGGUAGUCCACGCCGUAAACGAUGUCGAUUUGGAGGUUGUGCCCUUGAGGCGUGGCUUCCGGAGCUAACGCGUUAAAUCGACCGCCUGGGGAGUACGGCCGCAAGGUUAAAACUCAAAUGAAUUGACGGGGGCCCGCACAAGCGGUGGAGCAUGUGGUUUAAUUCGAUGCAACGCGAAGAACCUUACCUGGUCUUGACAUCCACAGAACUUUCCAGAGAUGGAUUGGUGCCUUCGGGAACUGUGAGACAGGUGCUGCAUGGCUGUCGUCAGCUCGUGUUGUGAAAUGUUGGGUUAAGUCCCGCAACGAGCGCAACCCUUAUCCUUUGUUGCCAGCGGUCCGGCCGGGAACUCAAAGGAGACUGCCAGUGAUAAACUGGAGGAAGGUGGGGAUGACGUCAAGUCAUCAUGGCCCUUACGACCAGGGCUACACACGUGCUACAAUGGCAUAUACAAAGAGAAGCGACCUCGCGAGAGCAAGCGGACCUCAUAAAGUAUGUCGUAGUCCGGAUUGGAGUCUGCAACUCGACUCCAUGAAGUCGGAAUCGCUAGUAAUCGUAGAUCAGAAUGCUACGGUGAAUACGUUCCCGGGCCUUGUACACACCGCCCGUCACACCAUGGGAGUGGGUUGCAAAAGAAGUAGGUAGCUUAACCUUCGGGAGGGCGCUUACCACUUUGUGAUUCAUGACUGGGGUGAAGUCGUAACAAGGUAACCGUAGGGGAACCUGCGGUUGGAUCACCU